This 506-nucleotide unclassified non-coding RNA is filed under the name uncultured Acaulospora. RNAcentral describes it as "SSU rRNA". It matches the Rfam family "Eukaryotic small subunit ribosomal RNA", at positions 569 to 1079 of the family's 1831-position model. Lineage: Eukaryota; Fungi; Glomeromycota; Glomeromycetes; Diversisporales; Acaulosporaceae. The record is from RNAcentral.
AGCAGCCGCGGUAAUUCCAGCUCCAAUAGCGUAUAUUAAAGUUGUUGCAGUUAAAAGCUCGUAGUUGAAUUUCGGAAUCUGUCCAUCGGUCGGGCUUCACUGUCCGUACUGGUGUGGUGGGUUCUUACCUUCUGAAUAACCAGCAUGCCAUUCACUUGGUGCGCUGGGGAAGCAGGACUAUUACCUUGAAAAAUUGAGUGCUCAAAGCAGGCUAGUGCCUGAAUACAUUAGCAUGGAAUAAUAAAAUAGGACGGCAUGGUUUUAUUUUGUUGGUUUCUAGGAUCACCGUAAUGAUUAAUAGGGAUAGUUGGGGGCAUUAGUAUUCAAUUGUCAGAGGUGAAAUUCUUGGAUUUAUUGAAGACUAACUUCUGCGAAAGCAUUUGCCAAGGAUGUUUUCAUUAAUCAAGAACGAAAGUUAGGGAUCGAAGACGAUCAGAUACCGUCUAGUCUUAACCAUUAAACUAUGCCGACUAGGGAUCGGGAUGAUUGUUAAUUUUAUAAUUGUA